RNAcentral lists this ribosomal RNA (680 nucleotides) under uncultured bacterium. Its description in RNAcentral is "bacterial SSU rRNA". It matches the Rfam family "Bacterial small subunit ribosomal RNA", at positions 140 to 807 of the family's 1533-position model. The record is from RNAcentral.
GGGAUAACACCUGGAAACAGAUGCUAAUACCGGAUAACAACACUAGACGCAUGUCUAGAGUUUGAAAGAUGGUUCUGCUAUCACUCUUGGAUGGACCUGCGGUGCAUUAGCUAGUUGGUAAGGUAACGGCUUACCAAGGCAAUGAUGCAUAGCCGAGUUGAGAGACUGAUCGGCCACAUUGGGACUGAGACACGGCCCAAACUCCUACGGGAGGCAGCAGUAGGGAAUCUUCCACAAUGGACGAAAGUCUGAUGGAGCAACGCCGCGUGAGUGAAGAAGGGUUUCGGCUCGUAAAGCUCUGUUGGUAGUGAAGAAAGAUAGAGGUAGUAACUGGCCUUUAUUUGACGGUAAUUACUUAGAAAGUCACGGCUAACUACGUGCCAGCAGCCGCGGUAAUACGUAGGUGGCAAGCGUUGUCCGGAUUUAUUGGGCGUAAAGCGAGCGCAGGCGGUUCAAUAAGUCUGAUGUGAAAGCCUUCGGCUCAACCGGAGAAUUGCAUCAGAAACUGUUGAACUUGAGUGCAGAAGAGGAGAGUGGAACUCCAUGUGUAGCGGUGGAAUGCGUAGAUAUAUGGAAGAACACCAGUGGCGAAGGCGGCUCUCUGGUCUGCAACUGACGCUGAGGCUCGAAAGCAUGGGUAGCGAACAGGAUUAGAUACCCUGGUAGUCCAUGCCGUAAAC